Molecule: small nuclear RNA, 160 nt
Filed under: Lepisosteus oculatus (spotted gar)
Lineage: Eukaryota; Metazoa; Chordata; Actinopteri; Semionotiformes; Lepisosteidae
Description: U1 spliceosomal RNA (ENSLOCG00000018415.1)
Source: RNAcentral
AAGAUUACCUGACAGGCCGACACCAUGAUCAAGCAGGUGGCUGAGGGUGAGGUUGAGCCUUGGCACUCCAGCUGUGCUGGCCCCUGUGUGAUUUCCACAGAUGUGGGAAUCUAGACUGCAUAAUGUUUGCUUACACACACAGGUUUACAACCAGGGUGGC